RNAcentral lists this transfer RNA (78 nucleotides) under Paractinoplanes durhamensis. Its description in RNAcentral is "Actinoplanes durhamensis tRNA-Met". It matches the Rfam family "tRNA". Rfam says of the family: Transfer RNA (tRNA) molecules are approximately 80 nucleotides in length. Their secondary structure includes four short double-helical elements and three loops (D, anti-codon, and T loops). Lineage: Bacteria; Bacillati; Actinomycetota; Actinomycetes; Micromonosporales; Micromonosporaceae. The record is from RNAcentral.
CGCAGGGUGGAGCAGCUCGGAGUGCUCGCGGGUCUCAUACGCCCGAGGUCGUGGGUUCAAAUCCCACCCCUGCCACCA